RNAcentral lists this ribosomal RNA (583 nucleotides) under Pichia kluyveri. RNAcentral's name for it is "LSU rRNA". It matches the Rfam family "Eukaryotic large subunit ribosomal RNA", at positions 66 to 667 of the family's 3401-position model. The record is from RNAcentral. Lineage: Eukaryota; Fungi; Ascomycota; Pichiomycetes; Pichiales; Pichiaceae.
UCGGGGGGUAUGCCUCAGGUAGCGGCGAGUGAGCGGCAAGAGCUCAGAUUUGAAAUCUCACCUAGUGUGCGAGUUGUAAAUUGCAGGUUGGAGUCUCGGGUUAGACGUGUGUGCAAGUCCCUUGGAACAGGGUGCCACUGAGGGUGAGAGCCCCGUAGCGUGCAUGUCGACACCUGUGAGGCCCUUCUGACGAGUCGAGUUGUUUGGGAAUGCAGCUCUAAGUGGGUGGUAAAUUCCAUCUAAGGCUAAAUAUUGGCGAGAGACCGAUAGCGAACAAGUACUGUGAAGGAAAGAUGAAAAGCACUUUGAAAAGAGAGUGAAACAGCACGUGAAAUUGUUGAAAGGGAAGGGUAUUGGGCUCGACAUGGGAUUUACGCAUCGUUGCCUCUCGUGGGCGGCGCUCUGGGUUUUUCCUGGGCCAGCAUCGGUUUUCGUUGCAGGAUAAGGACAAUUGGAAUGUGGCUCCUCGGAGUGUUAUAGCCUUUUGUAGAUGCUGCGUAUGGGGACCGAGGGCUGCGGCGGACUCGUUUCGUCUCGGAUGCUGGCACAACGGCGCAAUACCGCCCGUCUUGAAACACGGACC